This 238-nucleotide ribosomal RNA is filed under the name uncultured bacterium. RNAcentral's name for it is "partial 16S ribosomal RNA". It matches the Rfam family "Bacterial small subunit ribosomal RNA", at positions 15 to 245 of the family's 1533-position model. The record is from RNAcentral.
GAUCCUGGCUCAGGAUGAACGCUAGCUACAGGCUUAACACAUGCAAGUCGAGGGGCAGCAUGAACUUAGCUUGCUAAGUUGAUGGCGACCGGCGCACGGGUGAGUAACACGUAUCCAACCUGCCGAUGACUCGGGGGAUAGCCUUUCGAAAGAAAGAUUAAUACCCGAUGGCAUAGUUCUUCCGCAUGGUAGAACUAUUAAAGGAUUUCGGUCAUCGAUGGGUAUGCUUUCCAUUAGG